Molecule: ribosomal RNA, 253 nt
Filed under: uncultured bacterium
Lineage: Bacteria
Description: partial 16S ribosomal RNA
Rfam family: Bacterial small subunit ribosomal RNA
Source: RNAcentral
UACGGAGGGUGCAAGCGUUAUCCGGAUUUACUGGGUUUAAAGGGUGCGUAGGUGGGUCUGUAAGUCAGUGGUGAAAGCCCACGGCUCAACCGUGGAGGGUCAUUGGAAACUGGGGAACUUGAGUGCAGAAGAGGAUAGUGGAAUUCCAAGUGUAGCGGUGAAAUGCGUAGAGAUUUGGAGGAACACCAGUGGCGAAGGCGACUAUCUGGUCUGUAACUGACACUGAGGCGCGAAAGCGUGGGGAGCAAACAGG